GAUGAAGAACGCAGCGAAAUGCGAUAAGUAAUGUGAAUUGCAGAAUUCAGUGAAUCAUCGAAUCUUUGAACGCAUCUUGCGCUCCUUGGUAUUCCGAGGAGCAUGCCUGUUUGAGUGUCAUUAAAUUCUCAACUACACUGAUUUUUUUUGGUUGGUGUAGAUUGGAUUUGGGGGAAUUUUUUGCGGGCUUUGUAAAAUGAAGUCGGCUCCCCUGAAAUUAAUUAGUGGUACCUUAGUAGAACUGUCUACAGGUGUGAUAAUUAUCUACAUCCUAGACAUCUGCUGGAAUGCUGCUUUCUAAACCUUACUUGUAUUGACAAUCUUGACCUCAAAUCAGGUAGGACUACCCGCUGAACUUAAGCAUAUCAAUAAGCGGAGGA
RNAcentral lists this unclassified non-coding RNA (380 nucleotides) under soil metagenome. RNAcentral describes it as "partial contains 5.8S ribosomal RNA, internal transcribed spacer 2, and large subunit ribosomal RNA". The stretch from base 1 to 120 matches the Rfam family "5.8S ribosomal RNA", at positions 35 to 154 of the family's 154-position model. The record is from RNAcentral.